AGACUUGCCAAUGCAUGCUAGCAGGUAAAUUUUCCUUCCUUGAGAUGUGUCAUGUUUCUAGGAGCUUAGGUGGUAACAUUUGUGAUUGCCACUUCGUGGGAAUUUAUUACUGGAUAACUUGUGAUAAAACAUCAUUCCUUUCCUCAAGGUAAAACAUAAUUGGCAAUGCAUAGCAUAGUAACCUUGGUUUGUUACUGAAAAUUGUCCCUUUAUCUAUGAAAAUUUGACAGUGCAUUUUAGCGUUUAUUUUGUGUCUGUGAUUGACAACAAUACAUUCACUUUUUUCUCCAUUUU
Molecule: unclassified non-coding RNA, 294 nt
Filed under: Hevea brasiliensis (rubber tree)
Lineage: Eukaryota; Viridiplantae; Streptophyta; Magnoliopsida; Malpighiales; Euphorbiaceae
Source: RNAcentral